AAAAUCCGUCGACUUUAGAAAUCGUGAGGGUUCAAGUCCCUCUAUCCCCCCAAAAAGACCGAUUUGACUAUUUCUCCUACCCUCUCUUUUUUUUAGUGGUUCAAAAUUCGUUCUCUUUCUCAUUCAUUCUACCUUUUUACAAACGUAUCAGAGCAGAAUUUUUUUUUUCUUUUAUCACAAUCACAAGUGGUGUGGUAUAUAUGAUAUACGUACAAAUGAACAUCUUUGAACAAAGAAUCCCGAUUCACAAUUCAUAUCAUUGCUCAUACUGAAACUUAUAAAUUAUUCUAUUCAAGAAAUCGAAUUCCACGCUCAAGACUUUUAAUACUUUUUUAUCUUUUUUAAUUGACAUAGACCCCAGUCAUCUAGUAAAAUGAGGAUGAUGCGCCGGUAAUGGUCGGGAUAGCUCAGCUGGUAGAGCAGAGGACUGAAAAUCCUCGUGUC
This 444-nucleotide transfer RNA is filed under the name Acer triflorum. Its description in RNAcentral is "partial transfer RNA-Leu". The stretch from base 397 to 444 matches the Rfam family "tRNA", at positions 1 to 46 of the family's 71-position model. The record is from RNAcentral. Lineage: Eukaryota; Viridiplantae; Streptophyta; Magnoliopsida; Sapindales; Sapindaceae.